This 244-nucleotide ribosomal RNA is filed under the name uncultured bacterium. RNAcentral's name for it is "partial 16S ribosomal RNA". It matches the Rfam family "Bacterial small subunit ribosomal RNA", at positions 1246 to 1500 of the family's 1533-position model. The record is from RNAcentral.
GAAGCGAGGCUGUGAAGCGGAGCAAAUCUCAAAAACCGGUCCCAGUUCGGAUUGUAGGCUGCAACUCGCCUACAUGAAGUCGGAGUUGCUAGUAAUCGCGGAUCAGAAUGCCGCGGUGAAUGCGUUCCCGGGUCUUGUACACACCGCCCGUCACACCAUGGAAGUUGGGGGCGCCCGAAGUUGCCUAAGAAAUAAGGUACCUAAGGCGAAACCAAUGACUGGGGUGAAGUCGUAACAAGGUAUC